Molecule: ribosomal RNA, 500 nt
Filed under: uncultured bacterium
Lineage: Bacteria
Description: partial 16S ribosomal RNA
Rfam family: Bacterial small subunit ribosomal RNA
Source: RNAcentral
AUUGAACGCUGGCGGCAGGCCUAACACAUGCAAGUCGAGCGGUAGAGAGGAGCUUGCUUCUCUUGAGAGCGGCGGACGGGUGAGUAAUGCCUAGGAAUCUGCCUGGUAGUGGGGGAUAACGUUCGGAAACGGACGCUAAUACCGCAUACGUCCUACGGGAGAAAGUGGGGGAUCUUCGGACCUCACGCUAUCAGAUGAGCCUAGGUCGGAUUAGCUAGUUGGUGAGGUAAAGGCUCACCAAGGCGACGAUCCGUAACUGGUCUGAGAGGAUGAUCAGUCACACUGGAACUGAGACACGGUCCAGACUCCUACGGGAGGCAGCAGUGGGGAAUAUUGGACAAUGGGCGCAAGCCUGAUCCAGCCAUGCCGCGUGUGUGAAGAAGGUCUUCGGAUUGUAAAGCACUUUAAGUUGGGAGGAAGGUCAGUAGCUUAAUACGUUGCUGAUUUGACGUUACCGACAGAAUAAGCACCGGCUAACUCUGUGCCAGCCGCCGCGGUAA